UACGGGGGGGGCAAGCGUUGUUCGGAAUUACUGGGCGUAAAGGGCUCGUAGGCGGCCAACUAAGUCAUACGUGAAAUCCCUCGGCUUAACCGGGGAACUGCGUCUGAUACUGGAUGGCUUGAGAUUGGGAGAGGGAUGCGGAAUUCCAGGUGUAGCGGUGAAAUGCGUAGAUAUCAGGAGGAAUACCGAUGGCGAAGGCAGGUCUCUGGGCUGACACUGACGCUCAUGCACGAAAGCGUGGGGAGCAAACAGG
Molecule: ribosomal RNA, 253 nt
Filed under: uncultured bacterium
Lineage: Bacteria
Description: partial 16S ribosomal RNA
Rfam family: Bacterial small subunit ribosomal RNA
Source: RNAcentral